RNAcentral lists this ribosomal RNA (464 nucleotides) under Vreelandella stevensii. RNAcentral's name for it is "partial 16S ribosomal RNA". It matches the Rfam family "Bacterial small subunit ribosomal RNA", at positions 338 to 795 of the family's 1533-position model. The record is from RNAcentral. Lineage: Bacteria; Pseudomonadati; Pseudomonadota; Gammaproteobacteria; Oceanospirillales; Halomonadaceae.
CCUACGGGGGGCAGCAGUGGGGAAUAUUGGACAAUGGGCGAAAGCCUGAUCCAGCCAUGCCGCGUGUGUGAAGAAGGCCUUCGGGUUGUAAAGCACUUUCAGUGGGGAAGAAAGCCUUGGGGCUAAUACCCUCGAGGAAGGACAUCACCCACAGAAGAAGCACCGGCUAACUCCGUGCCAGCAGCCGCGGUAAUACGGAGGGUGCGAGCGUUAAUCGGAAUUACUGGGCGUAAAGCGCGCGUAGGCGGUCUGAUAAGCCGGUUGUGAAAGCCCCGGGCUCAACCUGGGAACGGCAUCCGGAACUGUCAGGCUAGAGUGCAGGAGAGGAAGGUAGAAUUCCCGGUGUAGCGGUGAAAUGCGUAGAGAUCGGGAGGAAUACCAGUGGCGAAGGCGGCCUUCUGGACUGACACUGACGCUGAGGUGCGAAAGCGUGGGUAGCAAACAGGAUUAGAUCCCUAGUAGUC